Molecule: ribosomal RNA, 468 nt
Filed under: uncultured bacterium
Lineage: Bacteria
Description: partial 16S ribosomal RNA
Rfam family: Bacterial small subunit ribosomal RNA
Source: RNAcentral
GACGAACGCUGGCGGCGUGCUUAACACAUGCAAGUCGAACGGAAAGGCCCUGCUUUUGUGGGGUGCUCGAGUGGCGAACGGGCGUGUAACACGUGAGUAACCUGCCCUUGACUUUGGGAUAACUUCAGGAAACUGGGGCUAAUACCGGAUAGGAGCUCCUGCUGCAUGGUGGGGGUUGGAAAGGUUCGGCGGUUGGGGAGGGACUCGCGGCUUAUCAGCUUGUUGGUGGGGUAGUGGCUUACAGAGGCUUUGACGGGUAGCCGGCCUGAGAGGGUGACCGGCCUCAUUGGUACUGAGAUACGGCGCAGACUCCUACGGGAGGCAGCAGUGGGGAAUAUUGCACAAUGGGCGGAAGCCUGAUGCAGCAACGCCGCGUGCGUGAUGACGGCCUUCGUGUUGUAAACCGCUUUCGCCUGUGACGAAGCGUGAGUGACGGUAAUGGGUGAAGAAGCACCGGCUAACUACGUG